UACAGAGGUGGCAAGCGUUGUUCGGAAUUACUGGGCGUAAAGGGCGCGUAGGCGGCCAUCUAAGUCAGACGUGAAAUCCCCCGGCUUAACCUGGGAACUGCGUCUGAUACUGGACGGCUUGAGUAUGGGAGAGGGAUGUAGAAUUCCAGGUGUAGCGGUGAAAUGCGUAGAUAUCUGGAGGAAUACCGGUGGCGAAGGCGGCAUCCUGGACCGACAUUGACGCUGAUGAGCGAAAGCUAGGGGAGCAAACGGG
RNAcentral lists this ribosomal RNA (253 nucleotides) under uncultured bacterium. RNAcentral describes it as "partial 16S ribosomal RNA". It matches the Rfam family "Bacterial small subunit ribosomal RNA", at positions 524 to 776 of the family's 1533-position model. The record is from RNAcentral.